AAAAGCCUGCCCUACUCGUUAGUGUGAAGAUAUUUUUGGGGCCUACAUGUGAGCUAUUAGGGAGCUCGGAAGUUCAGGGGCGUCUCACAGUAGACCCUCUGACAGGGCGCCCACCUAAAAAUAGGAGGCCCGCAUGUAUGUUUGCACGACGGUAGGGUGGGUAAUAA
Hydrogenobaculum sp. Y04AAS1 is the source of this 167-nucleotide non-coding RNA. Lineage: Bacteria; Pseudomonadati; Aquificota; Aquificia; Aquificales; Aquificaceae. The record is from Rfam.